CUGGCUUAGUCCCUUUGUUUCCGAGCGUAAGAGCACUGGGAUUAAUAUAGUUUCCAGGCUGAGGGAAAACACAGGAAUGUGAUGUUGAAAAAGGACUUUUUUCUUUUCCUUACGCUUCUCUCCUCCCUUUAUUUCUUCCCACCUUUUUCUCUCCUCUUUUCCUUCUCCUUUUUCUUCUUCCUCUUGCCUGGAUUCAGUCCCAGCAAUGCCAGGACAACCUCAGUUUUGAUCCAAACCAAACUCAAACAACAGCAGCCACUGGAAAUCAAGGAAACUUCACUAAGAAUUUAACAGAUCAGCAAAACACCGCCUCCUUCCCAUUUCAGCAUGCAUUCACAGUGUAGGACAAACUGAAGAAAUGAACAGCAAAGUCAAGGGGAAAGCCCACAGUGACCAUGAACUCAGGAUUCUGCUGCUGCGGCUACCCAGAGAAAUGCUGAGAAAGGGUAAUCCCCAAAAAGAAACACUCUGAAAUUGUCUCUGAAAUGUCAACAAGCUCACAGGUUUAAUCUGAAGUUGAGGUAUGUGUAUACGUUUUUAAAAAAAUAAAUAAAAAUAAAAGUUACCUGA
This is a long non-coding RNA of Balaenoptera ricei (Rice's whale), 570 nucleotides long. RefSeq lists it as uncharacterized. NCBI's taxonomy places the organism in Eukaryota, Metazoa, Chordata, Mammalia, Artiodactyla, Balaenopteridae. The record is from RefSeq and is a predicted model, not a curated record. The transcript is spliced from 2 exons.